This is a non-coding RNA of Podarcis lilfordi (Lilford's wall lizard), 73 nucleotides long. The record is from the annotation of a GenBank genome assembly. NCBI's taxonomy places the organism in Eukaryota, Metazoa, Chordata, Lepidosauria, Squamata, Lacertidae.
GCUCAGUUGGCUCAGUCAGUAGAGCAUGAGACUCUUAACCUCAGGGUUGUGAGUUUGAGACCCACGUUGGGCA